ACACUAAACCGACAGUUCAAAUUUUCCAACCAGGCGUUUUUUAACAGAGUAUCAGAGCCAGUUUGAAUCUCCUGCCGUUCUAUAUGCAUAAACUGUUUUCUAUCAGAUUGAUCUUUUGGGUAACAAUAUCAAAUGAACCCAGUCGGUAGAUUUUUUGCCUUUUAGAUAUCUGAUGCGUACAAAUUAGGUAAAAACGUAUGAAACUUAUCUUACCUAACCAUUUUGAUUCGGCUAUCCAAUCUUUUAAAAUUUAGAUUUUACUGCAUCACCUUUCAAUUUGUCUGAUUUGAGCUGGUCAACGGUACUUUGACUUCAAAAUUUGAGUGCGUUGUUUAUUUUUACAGGCUUAGUUAGUAUAUUUUACGUAAUUAGAUUAAAUUUCAGAGUUAAAAUAUUAUUGAUUGAUUCAAAUCGAACAUAUCGAAAAGUUGGAUAGUAAAAUUAAAAUUUUAAAAUAUUGGGUAAAUGAAUCAAAAAGGUUUAUAGACCAGAUAAGUUU
This 499-nucleotide long non-coding RNA is filed under the name Ananas comosus (pineapple). RNAcentral describes it as "long non-coding RNA (ACOM_LNC017551)". The record is from RNAcentral. Lineage: Eukaryota; Viridiplantae; Streptophyta; Magnoliopsida; Poales; Bromeliaceae.